This 252-nucleotide ribosomal RNA is filed under the name Triticum aestivum (bread wheat). RNAcentral's name for it is "partial small subunit ribosomal RNA". The record is from RNAcentral. Lineage: Eukaryota; Viridiplantae; Streptophyta; Magnoliopsida; Poales; Poaceae.
AUGAUCAGCAGGAUCCUGAAGAGGGUCUGCGGCUUGUACCCUCAGUACAUCGGCGUUGAUGUCGAGUAUACCAGGGAGGACAAACCUCCGCAGAGGGCAGCGGUUCUACAAUUAUGCAUGCACGAACUCUGUUUGGUAUAUCACAUCACCGCGGCAACAAAAUGGCCCAAGAGCCCGCGCCCGUUCCUGAAGGAGGACAUGUUCUACACCUUUGCCGGCUUCAGUAUUGAAGGUGACAAAGAGAUGCUGUGA